This 241-nucleotide long non-coding RNA is filed under the name Elaeis guineensis (African oil palm). RNAcentral's name for it is "long non-coding RNA (EGUI_LNC052940)". Lineage: Eukaryota; Viridiplantae; Streptophyta; Magnoliopsida; Arecales; Arecaceae. The record is from RNAcentral.
CGACAACGACAGUCAUCAUAGAGUAGUUCAACUUGCUGGUUCAGCAGGUCAGGGGCAUCAUUGAAGUGGUGCAGGCCAUGCAGCAGCAGCAGCAGCCGCAGGCAUCUGUGCGGCUGGAAAGAGCAUCGUCGAAGUUCCAAAAACCGACGAUCGGGUGGCCCACUUGGGCCAGUCACCCUAUAUCCCCCAGAAAGAGGAAGCAGAGGGUGGAGAGCCCUCUGUCUGAUCAUGAUUCCACCCC